UACGAAGGGGGCUAGCGUUGCUCGGAAUUACUGGGCGUAAAGCGCACGUAGGCGGCUUUGUAAGUUAGAGGUGAAAGCCCGGGGCUCAACUCCGGAAUUGCCUUUAAGACUGCAUCGCUAGAACGUCGGAGAGGUAAGUGGAAUUCCGAGUGUAGAGGUGAAAUUCGUAGAUAUUCGGAAGAACACCAGUGGCGAAGGCGACUUACUGGACGACUGUUGACGCUGAGGUGCGAAAGCGUGGGGAGCAAACAGG
This 253-nucleotide ribosomal RNA is filed under the name uncultured bacterium. RNAcentral's name for it is "partial 16S ribosomal RNA". It matches the Rfam family "Bacterial small subunit ribosomal RNA", at positions 524 to 776 of the family's 1533-position model. The record is from RNAcentral.